UACGGGGGGAGCAAGCGUUGUCCGGAAUUAUUGGGCGUAAAGGGCUCGUAGGCGGUUUGUCGCGUCGGGAGUGAAAACUCAGGGCUCAACCCUGAGCGUGCUUCCGAUACGGGCAGACUAGAGGUAUGCAGGGGAGAACGGAAUUCCUGGUGUAGCGGUGGAAUGCGCAGAUAUCAGGAGGAACACCGGUGGCGAAGGCGGCGACCUGGGCCAAUAUUGACGCUGAGGUGCGAAAGCGUGGGGAGCAAACAGG
Molecule: ribosomal RNA, 253 nt
Filed under: uncultured bacterium
Lineage: Bacteria
Description: partial 16S ribosomal RNA
Rfam family: Bacterial small subunit ribosomal RNA
Source: RNAcentral